GUCAGGAUGGCCGAGUGGUCUAAGGCGCUACGUUCAGGUCGUAGUCUACUCUGUAGGCGUGGGUUCGAAUCCCACUUCUGACA
Strongylocentrotus purpuratus (purple sea urchin) is the source of this 83-nucleotide non-coding RNA. The record is from Rfam. Lineage: Eukaryota; Metazoa; Echinodermata; Echinoidea; Camarodonta; Strongylocentrotidae.